RNAcentral lists this ribosomal RNA (58 nucleotides) under Puccinia urbaniana. RNAcentral describes it as "partial 5.8S ribosomal RNA". It matches the Rfam family "5.8S ribosomal RNA", at positions 98 to 154 of the family's 154-position model. Rfam says of the family: 5.8S ribosomal RNA (5.8S rRNA) is a component of the large subunit of the eukaryotic ribosome. It is transcribed by RNA polymerase I as part of the 45S precursor that also contains 18S and 28S rRNA. Functionally, it is thought that 5.8S rRNA may be involved in ribosome translocation. The record is from RNAcentral. Lineage: Eukaryota; Fungi; Basidiomycota; Pucciniomycetes; Pucciniales; Pucciniaceae.
CUUUGAACGCAUCUUGCACCUUUUGGUAUUCCAAAAGGUAUGCCUGUUUGAGUGUCAU